This 892-nucleotide long non-coding RNA is filed under the name Manihot esculenta (cassava). Its description in RNAcentral is "long non-coding RNA (MESC_LNC008252)". The record is from RNAcentral. Lineage: Eukaryota; Viridiplantae; Streptophyta; Magnoliopsida; Malpighiales; Euphorbiaceae.
ACUAUGGAUGAAACAUCACAGUGAGGGAGGGAAAAAUAUUAUUAUCAUUAGUAAAAAAGCAGCUAGCACCAAAAAAGGCAAAAGCAAAGGGAAGCUGUUGCAACUAUUCUUUUUUCUAGUUUGGCAGAUUUGAUGUGCAAGUGUAAACAUCAGCUUCCCCCACUAGGCACAAUAUAUAGAUUCAUGUGCUAUGAGCUUGAUCAAGUCUCAGUCAUCCCCCAUUAAUGGGGUUUUGGAGAUUGUGGUCGCUAACCCAACUCCUCCAUCUUUGGUAAAAUCAUUGCUCUUUUUCUCUCUCAUAUCAAUUGCCACUUUGUCUAAAGUGGUGCAAUAGUUCCUUCUUGUCUUAGAUUAGGCACCACUGAAAAGCUGGCCACUAAAAUGAAUCAUUCUCGCAGCUUGGUAGAUACGUAAGUGGGCAUAGACGAUAACUAGCAAAUGCAAUGGAUUCUCCAUGUGGAUGGAUAGGAUGAAGAGAUGUGUGAUUGGAGUAAGUAAUGGGUUAAAAUAAUAUAUGAAAAGUGAUUCCAAAGUAAUGAUGCCCACCAAGAGAGAUAUGAGUAGUAUGUCUAUGUAUAUUUCACCUUUCUUCUCUCUUUUCAAAGCUUCACAUUCUUACAGUGAAAAAGACAAGACAAUUCAGAUAGGAUUUGAAAGGUGACAUUACAAAGAAUCAGCCAACGCAUUGGACCAAUGUAGGAGAGCAAACAUUUACUACUACUUGCUAUUAUUGCACUGCAAUAUGAUUGUGCCAUCAACCAUCCAGUGCUCAUCUCUGCUUAUAUUGGGCCUACAAAUAGUAAUAAUGGACCAUCAUGUUCCUUAAUUAGUUGCUUUGUCUAUUAAUUAAAUAUUUUUAUAUCAUUAAUAAUGGCGAAUAUUGCAAAUCAAC